RNAcentral lists this ribosomal RNA (460 nucleotides) under uncultured bacterium. RNAcentral's name for it is "partial 16S ribosomal RNA". It matches the Rfam family "Bacterial small subunit ribosomal RNA", at positions 338 to 795 of the family's 1533-position model. The record is from RNAcentral.
CCUACGGGAGGCAGCAGUGAGGAAUAUUGGUCAAUGGACGAGAGUCUGAACCAGCCAAGUAGCGUGAAGGAUGACUGCCCUAUGGGUUGUAAACUUCUUUUAUAUGGGAAUAAAAUGUUCCACGUGUGGGAUUUUGUAUGUACCAUAUGAAUAAGGAUCGGCUAACUCCGUGCCAGCAGCCGCGGUAAUACGGAGGAUCCGAGCGUUAUCCGGAUUUAUUGGGUUUAAAGGGAGCGUAGGUGGAUUGUUAAGUCAGUUGUGAAAGUUUGCGGCUCAACCGUAAAAUUGCAGUUGAAACUGGCAGUCUUGAGUACAGUAGAGGUGGGCGGAAUUCGUGGUGUAGUGGUGAAAUGCUUAGAUAGCACGAAGAACUCCGAUUGCGAAGGCAGUUCACUGGACUGCAACUGACACUGAGGCUCGAAAGUGUGGGUAUCAAACAGGAUUAGAUACCCUUGUAGUC